Molecule: unclassified non-coding RNA, 215 nt
Filed under: Hevea brasiliensis (rubber tree)
Lineage: Eukaryota; Viridiplantae; Streptophyta; Magnoliopsida; Malpighiales; Euphorbiaceae
Source: RNAcentral
CCAUAACCACGAAAGCUAACAAGCCAGCGCCAGGAACACCUGCCAGCUUGAAAACAAGACCGGCCAGUAGGGACUGGAUGAUCGCGACGCCUAUGACACCUUGAGACACUGCGCGUAUGGUCGUGCCGGCCAGUUCCAGAAAAUGUUCGCUCUGUUCGGGCGCGAUACGAUAGAGAAAGGCCCUGACCGCCUCCACGAGCUGCGGGCCGUAGGGA